ACUAAUGCAAUAAAAUGGGCAAAGUAGACAAAAUUUUCCAUUAUUAUACAAUUAUGUUUGUCUUAUUUUUCUGAUAUUAAAAUGUCCUUACUUUAUAAAAUUAGUUCUCAGUAGAUGUAGUCAUGUGUUUGUUUGUUUGUUUGUUUUUAAUAAGUCCUUGGUAACAUUUAAAGGUUGGUUGGUCUCUUAAAUUUAGGAAAAACACACAUCCCUGGUAGACAGAUGAAAUUCUCAAAUCUGGUGAAUGCUGAGACUAGAAACCACACUGUAUAGGUCUGUGAAAGACCAACACCCUGGCUUUGACUCUGCUGUUUUGUAAUCUUUCUUUUCUGUCCAAGACAAUGUUUAAAAGUCAAUAUUUUUCCAUUUCCUGUCUCCCCUUUUAAUGAGGAAGGACAAACACUUGAAAAUAAAAAUGUACACAAGGUGCUUGAGACAGAAAUUAUUUCUUCAAAGUGCUUUAAUCAUGCUGUUGAAAACCACUUUCUCCAGUAGCCUAAUCACAUAAAUCAUAGUAAAAGGUUAAAGAUGAAGUUCAAUUGUGCCAAAUUACCUGCAAUGGUUUCUCAGAAAUGGAUUACUUUCUAUUAAAAGGUGAAGUCAUUCUGCUACCCAUUGGUAUGCUCAGGUGGUCUCUGGGUUGCAUCUUCACAUAUAGAUCAUUUGCAUGGGUGUUUGGUUUAAAAGGAUGCUUGUUUAAUUUCUUAUUAACAUUUGGCUCAAAACUAGAUAUUGGGCAGAAAUUCCACGAAGUUCAGGACUUCGCACCAACAGCACCAGGGUCAGUAGCCAGAUUUGAUAAGAAGAUAAUGAUGAUAAUACGAUCUAAUUCCAUUACUUCUGCCUUGAUAAACUCUUAAACACCAUCUAAAGCAGAAUUAUUCCAUUAUUAUUCAGGGUUCCCAGAUACUAAGCAUUGUAAAUAGAAUAAUUCCUCAGAAAUAUAUUUUCCUUAUUGAAUACAUGUAGUAAGUUAGUUAUGGAGUGUCUUUCAAUGAAUCUUAAAUAACUUCAGAAGGAUGGUGAAAUAGAAAGAGACCUGGACUUGGGAAUCAGGUGACCAAGAACCUACUUUUCCUUUAACUCAAGCAUAGAGUUACCUAAUUUCCUUGAGCCUCACUUUUGUCAUCCAUAAAAGUAUGUUUAUUAAGCAUUUUUGUGCAAAGUAUCCUGCACAGUGCAUACAAAUAUUAUCUCAUUUAAUUCCUACAAUAACUCUAUGAGGUGAGUCUGUUAUUAGCUCCACUUUUGUUCAAGACCCUAUACAUCAUAUCACUUCUUUCUUCCCCAGACAAAAUAUUUAUUCUUCCCCAGACAAAAUAUUUUGCCAAAUCUCAUCUACAGCCUCUAUGAGUUAAAACAGUUUUGCUUUUCUGGUUUUACUUCUAUUUUUGUGUUCCUCUUUGGCUCAUUGACUGGUUUUCUUUUCAGUGGAAUUGCAAUUUGAUUCUCAGCUCUUUAAAUCAGAAGAGGAAAACUAGCCAUCACUUAUUAAGCACCAAUCACAUGGUAUAUGCUUUCCAAAUAUUUUCUUUUAUCCUAACAAUAGCCCAUUGUCCCAUUUUACAGGUAAGGAUAUAGUCUCAGAGAUGUUAAAUAAGAUGCCCAAGACCACACAGCUCUCUCUCUUUUUAAAGUAUAGUUGACUUACAAUUAUUCAAGUGUAUAGCAAAGGGAUUCAGAUAUAUUUUCAGAUUCUUUUCCAUGAUAGGUUAUUACAAAAUAUUGAAUAUAGUUCCCUGUGCUGUAAAGUAAGUCCUUAUCUUUUAUCUAUUUUAUAUACAGCAAGUAGUAUGCAUCUGUUAAUCCCAAAUUGCCAAUGUAUCCUACCCCCCUCCUUUGGUAAACACUAUUUUGUUUUCUAUGUCUGGGUAGACUCUCUUGACUGGUCUAGUUUUUGUGCCCACUAAGGCCUACAGUCUAUGACACAGCUCUGUGAGCAAACAUGUUAAUUUCUACACCCUUUCCUUCUGUACAAGGAUCACUCAUUUCAGGGAAAGGAAAUGUAAAUUAGUUUAUACAAAUAUUCAAAUCAAAGCUGUUUGGAUUUGAUAAGAAAGCUCAUGUUUAGAAAAUAAAGAAGGCUAGUCUUUUCUCACUCUGUUCCUUAGAUUGUAUUUGACCAAUAGUCUGCUAUGUAGCAAAAGGAAAACACCAGGGCAGUUGCUAUUCUGUGAACAGCAAAGCUAAGUUAUCAAAAUAUGUUUUUUAAAUCUUCUCAUUUAAUCUGAAUUGAAAAAGAAUUGUGUUUACAAAACCUUCAGUUAAUGACGGUUGCAUCACACUCCUGUGAUUUUAAACAAUGAUUUAUUUUAUUCUUUGCGGCUUUGAGCAAAGAGCUUCUUCAUUUAUGUUACACUCCAAACAGUUCCCAAAAUUCCAGCUAUUUUAUUACAUUUUUAUUACAAAUCAAGGCAUGGAGUGAAAACUAUAUAAAUCAAUCCAUCUAUUUGUCUAAAGAUCAGCUGUAUAACUUCAAAGCUGAAUAUGUUUCAGGUAUUUUAGUUUCACACAUAUACCUUACCCUACUAUCAGAGUUUCUUCAUUUUGCAUCAUUAUUCCUUAUAUAUCCUCCAGUUUCCACUGUGACCAAAUAUUUACCAAUUCUUCAGGCCCUGAAUAUCCUACUCACAUCAGAAUCUUUACUUGUUUUCUUAAGGCAUGUUUUGUUGUCCAUUUUGUUCUUUCCAAAAAGCAUAAAAAGCAGAAUUUCUUUAAUUUCCUCCAAGCUCUCUCAUUCAAUGGGCAAUGAAUAUUCAAACAAUAUGAUCUAGCACUCCUGCUUCUGAGUAUAUAUCCAAACAAAAUGAAAACAGGACCUUGAAGCAAUAUCUGCACUUCCACAUUCUCUGCAGUGUUAUUCACAAUUGCCAAGAUAUGGAAACAACCUAAGUGUCCAUCAAAAGGUGAAUGGAUAAAAAAGAUAUGGUAUAUGUAUGCAAUGGAAUAUUAUUCAGCCAUGAGAAAGAAGGAAAUCCUGCUGUUUUAGACAACAUGGAUGGAACUUGAUGGCAUUAUGCUAAGUGAAAUAAGCCAGACAGAGAAAGACAAAUACUGCAAGGUAUCACAUAUAUGUGGAAUAAAAAUAAAAAGUCAAGCCCAUAGAAACAAAGAAUAGAAAAGUGGUUGUCAGAGGCUGGGAAGUUGGGAAAAAAGGAGAGUUUGGUAAAAGUGUACAAACUUUCAGCUGUAAGAUGAAUAAGAUCCAAGUAGCUAAUGUAUAAUAUGGUGACUAUAGUUCACAACUCUAUAUUGUAUAAUUGAAACUUGCUGAGAGUAGAACUGAAAUGUUCUCAUGCACACACACACAAAAGAUAAAGAUGAUGGAUGUGUUAAUUAGAUGGGGAGAGGAGUUCCCAUCGUGGCUCAGUGGUUAACGAAUCUGACUAGGAACCAUGAGGUUGCGGGUUCAAUCCCUGGGCUUGUUCAGUGGGUUAAGGAUCCGGCAUUGCCGUGAGCUGUGGUGUAGGUUGCAGAUCCGGCUCGGAUUCCGCGUUGCUGUGGCUGUGGUGUAGGCUGGUGACUAUAGCUCCGAUUCGACCCCUGGCCUGGGAACCUCCAUAUGGUGCAGGAGCGGCCCAAGAAAUGG
Molecule: long non-coding RNA, 3589 nt
Filed under: Sus scrofa (pig)
Lineage: Eukaryota; Metazoa; Chordata; Mammalia; Artiodactyla; Suidae
Description: lncRNA (ENSSSCG00000060238.1)
Source: RNAcentral